GCACAUGGUUAUGACUUUCCGUUCUUAAAUUACUUUUUUUGGUUUGUAAUAAACUUGUUCAUCUUGUUCUCUUAGGGUUUAUAAAAUCAUGCUCUCUCUCUCUGUCUAUGCCAUAUUUUUCAUUGUUAAUAUUGUUUAUUCUUCACUCGUACCAGUCGUGCUAGAGGUUUCUCUCUUUUUUUUUUAAAGACCCAUUUUUAUUUUGUGGUUUUUCUCCUGUGUUUCUUUGCUUUCUAUUUUAUGGAUUAUGUGGAUUCCUCCUUACUUUUAUUCCUGUGUGAUUGUUUUAUUAGGUACAUGACUUGAAAGUUUAGCUUAAUUGCUUUUCAUUUUACUUUUUAAAGAAUAAUUACAUUUCAGGCUAUGCAUUUCUCCUUGCUCUGUCCUACAACUUUUGUCAUGUGGCUUUUGUUGCCUUUAGUUUGAAAUAUUCCAUGACAUAAUGUCCUCUUUAAACCAAUGAACUGUUUGUUAAGGCUUGCUUGCUUGCUUGCUUGCUUUCCUUCUCUCUUUUCCUUCUUUCUCUUUCUUUCUUUCUUUCUUUCUUUCUUUCUUUCUUUCUUUCUUUCUUUCUUUCUUUCUUUCUUUCUUUCUUUCUUUCUCCAAGUUAAAUGUUAUUGCUGUUUUUAACCAUCCUUUUAUUGUUGAAUGGUACUUUAAAUAUUUAAAUGCUUUGCGAACAGAGAUGAUAUUAAAUCUUGGAUAUUGUUUGAGGUUUCUUGGGACCAAGUAUGCGGUCAUUUUAGAAAAAUGGACUGAAUGUAUAGCAAAUAUUCUCCAUUUGUUUGGGUGUAAGGUUCUCUAUAUAUUAGAUCAAGCUUGUUAAUUGUACUCAAGUAAUGUUUCCACUGGAUAUAUCAGUUUUUAAUAACUGUCAAAAUCUUCCAAAAUGUUUAUCAUUAUGCAGUUUUUAUCACGUUCUUUUUAUUUUUGUAGGUUUGUAAAAUUACCAAUUGAAUCAUUUCUUUUAUCAUGAUAAAAUACUUCUUUUCCCUUUUAAUGCUUUUUGUCUUGAUUUUUAUUUUGUCUAAUGUUAAUAUUGCUGCAUCAGAGAUUCUUUUGGUAUUAUUUUCCUUGUAAUCUUUAUUUUCAUACUUUUGUGUUCAUUAUGUUCUAGGCAUAUUUAUGGAAGGAGGAUCUUUUUGUCCAUCCAAUUUGAUAGUCUUUAUCUUUUAACAUGUGAAUUAAAUCCACUUAUAUUUAUUGAACCUACCUACACAAGAUUCUGAAGGUAUACAGAACAAGUCUCCCCGAAAUGUGUCACUUCAGCAUGUUGACUAUUUUUAGCAGAAGGCAAUAGAGGUACAGCGGACUCAAGAAACAUUUUUUUCUCCUUAAAUUGCCUAAAAGAAUUUAGAUGGGAGGCCUAACCCAGAAAAAGAAUGAUUACUAAGAGAUAACUUUUUUUAUCUGAAAGACUUAUCUGAAUGGCAAGACAAACGUAAUUACCAACCAUCUGCUCUUCUUACUGUCCAAUGAAUCACCCUUUACCUUUUACUCCAAGCCCCUUUUCCAUUCCUUAUUUCAGGGUAGCAUAUAGGUCUCAAGUGCCCCACUUGUCCUUGGAUAUCAUAUUCCCUGUAUGCAUUAAAUUAAAUGUUUUUCUCCUGUUAA
Long non-coding RNA from Canis lupus familiaris (dog), 1614 nucleotides. RefSeq lists it as uncharacterized. The transcript has 2 exons. The record is from RefSeq and is a predicted model, not a curated record. Lineage: Eukaryota; Metazoa; Chordata; Mammalia; Carnivora; Canidae.